UACAGAGGUCUCAAGCGUUGUUCGGAUUCAUUGGGCGUAAAGGGUGCGCAGGCGGCGCGGUAAGUCGGGUGUGAAAUCUCGGAGCUUAACUCCGAAACUGCAUUCGAUACUGCCGUGCUUGAGGACUGGAGAGGAGACUGGAAUUUACGGUGUAGCGGUGAAAUGCGUAGAUAUCGUAAGGAAGACCAGUGGCGAAGGCGGGUCUCUGGACAGUUCCUGACGCUGAGGCGCGAAAGUCAGGGGAGCAAACGGG
Molecule: ribosomal RNA, 253 nt
Filed under: uncultured bacterium
Lineage: Bacteria
Description: partial 16S ribosomal RNA
Rfam family: Bacterial small subunit ribosomal RNA
Source: RNAcentral